Molecule: ribosomal RNA, 114 nt
Organism: Sinocyclocheilus anshuiensis
Lineage: Eukaryota; Metazoa; Chordata; Actinopteri; Cypriniformes; Cyprinidae
Source: Ensembl
GCCAGCAGCUGUCACUCUGCAGCUCUCGCCUGGUUGGCCAUUGAUGCUAAGCAGGGUUGAGCCUGGUCAGUACCUGGAUGGGAGUUCUCCUGGGAAAAUAGGUUGCUGCUGGAA